RNAcentral lists this non-coding RNA (148 nucleotides) under Homo sapiens (human). Lineage: Eukaryota; Metazoa; Chordata; Mammalia; Primates; Hominidae. The record is from Rfam by way of RNAcentral.
GCUGGGCAUGGUGGUGCAUGCCUGUAAUCCCAGCUACUUGGGAGGCUGAGGCUGGAGAAUCGCUUGAACCUGGGAGGCGGAUGUUUCAGUGAGCUGAGAUUGUGCCACUGUACUCCAGCCUGGGUAACACAGUGAGACUCUGUCUCAA